UCUGCUAUGGGGGUGAUGGCCAG
Molecule: non-coding RNA, 23 nt
Filed under: Cricetulus griseus (Chinese hamster)
Lineage: Eukaryota; Metazoa; Chordata; Mammalia; Rodentia; Cricetidae
Source: RNAcentral